Cyprinus carpio carpio is the source of this 1287-nucleotide long non-coding RNA. The record is from Ensembl. NCBI's taxonomy places the organism in Eukaryota, Metazoa, Chordata, Actinopteri, Cypriniformes, Cyprinidae.
GUUGCUUCUUGUGCUUGUCCUCAAUCUGGCAACCCGCGUAAACGUCGAGUCUGCGGAGGAGGGGGCGGGGGCGGGGGCGGGAAACAAUGCUCUCCAAAAUUUUGAAUUUGGAAUGCAGCACUCAUUUCAACCGUUGGUUAUCAAUAUUACCGCGGCACCUUUGAUAUUUAGCAUUUAGCGUUAUAGCCUACUUACACUUCACCAUCUGUGGUUGAAACAUAAAAAUACGUUAUUUUACGUCAGUUGUGUUUCUGCGAUAGUUUGCGUAGUUUCCAUAGUUACCAGUAAUCGCCAUAUCAGCGCGGAUCUGUCACCAGACUGUGCGAAAAUUUUCCAAUAAAUCGUAUAAAACAAAAAAGACAUCAUCAGAGCAAGAAUCUGCUAGCGCUGUCUGUCCGGCUUACACACCUGCAGCGCCCCAGGGGAAGAGCGCGGCUCAGACCCCACACCCCUGACGCACUUAACUUCGAGGAAACGAGGAACAAUUAGACGUGAGGAACCUUUCAGAGAUCACAGAGUGUGGAGUUAUUACCCGGCCGUAACAAAACACUGUCGCUGCAGUUCCACCGCUCCAUCUAAACACCAACCAAACCUGUCAUCUCCAGCACCUGGGACAUCAGGCACACCAGGAACGGUCUCUUUCCCAGAGUGCCGCGCAGCAGUGCCCGCCUAGCUUUGGCACCUCAGCUGUCAGCCCGCUCUGCUGAUGAGGAGAAUGUGUGGGGCGAUGAAGUCGAUAAUGAAGAUUUAGAUUUACUCUGAAAUGGUUUCAUGUGGGGUUUCUCGCUCUCUCUGCGGAGCUUUAGAGCUGAAGCCUCUGAAUGGCAGUAUCUGAGUCAGCCAAGACUUCAAAAGGGGGCUUUGUGAAAUCUGUCAAGGAUUUGCCUCUAAUGAGAGUUUGCCCACUUGAUGAGGGACGCCCACUUCCUCUGCACUAAAUGCCAUAUUCAUUACCUGCUUGUCUCUGAUAUUGUGCUCUUUGUCUCUGACUUGCUGUAUUCUGUAUAAUCUGCCACUCCAGAUCAAAGUGAUCUGAUCUUUAUGCUCUCUAAAUGCAUAAUGAUCCUUACAGAUGGAUAGAAACAUAGGAAAGACUAAUUAACUUUAUAAACUAACUAACUUUAAAAUCAAACUAAUAAAACAUAUAUAGACUAUGACAGAAGAUUUAAACUAAACUAAAUAGUGAGAUGAUAUCUUUGCUUGAUAGUCUAGAAACAGGGAAAAGUAAAACAAAGAUUAUUGUAGAUUUACAAAAUAAAUAAAACAACAAAUAAAUAAAUAAUUCCA